Molecule: long non-coding RNA, 4643 nt
Organism: Mustela lutreola (European mink)
Lineage: Eukaryota; Metazoa; Chordata; Mammalia; Carnivora; Mustelidae
Exons: 3
Source: RefSeq, a predicted model, not a curated record
GAGCUCCUUGAGGCCAGACAUCCCAUGGAAAUCAUCUCCGGACCCCUUGACCUGGCAGAUAAGGGCACUUGAGGGGCAUCAGCUGUUCCAGUGGUCACGCAACAUCCCUCCCGGCGUUUCUAAACCAGCCCACCCGCCCAGCAGCAGCAGCGCUCACUCGCAGGCUGCCGGCUCUCCUGUCCUGGGCUCUGAUUCUAGUCCCACGUCUUGGCCAGAUGAUUACGGGUCAGCAGAACCCCGGGAAAGCAGCGUGCAAACCUGAGUGCGUGCCCGUGAGCACACCGCGUCAGAGUGGUGUGCGGACGGUACUGGGCAAGAGCGCUGGGACAGGAAAACUGCAGAGCUGGGCAGCUACCUUCUGUUUGGCCUAGAGAGUUCGCUGAGCAUAUCUGUAUAAUCGUCACACAUGUGGAAGAUGGACACGUAAACAGAACUUUCGACUCUGCGUGGUAAGGACUACGACUGCCGUCAAUCUGAAAGGAGGCGGGGAGGCAAGAGCCCUGGACGGGCGGGGAAGAUGUGCAGAAGGACGACCUGGAAGGCUCAGGACAGGCAAGAGAGACAGCCAGCUCUCCAGGCAGAGGGGAGCACAGGGCUGCGAGGUGCCCCAGCUGAGCCUUAAUACACACGUGAACCAAGACCAGGCUGGCAGAGCCCAGACCAGGAGGGGCCGGCUGCCAGGCUUGGGAGGUGGGAGAAGCUUUGUAACGGCUUGAGGCUGGACCGUAAAACUUCGUGGAUGCAGUGGCCACGCCAUGAGGAAGCCCACACCGACCCGUGUGGAAAGACCACAUGGAGAAGUUGCCCCGAACGUUCUGGCCAACAGCCAGCAUCAACCACCUGACAUCAGCAAAGAUGCUUCCAGAUGAUUCCAGCCUGCUGUCAAGUCCUCCCCAGCCUGGGCGUCUUCCCAGCGGAGGCCCCGACCCCGUGCAGCAGAUGAGCCGUCCCUGCUGCGCCCCGUCUGAACUCCUGCCCCGUGGAGGCCAAAAGCUGACUUCAAUGGCAGUUCGUGCCGCAGAGGGCGGGGUGGUUUCUGGAGCACUAGCGACCGCAGCGCUGCUCCGUCCGGCACCCCAGCCUUCUCCCCGUCAUCUUUCAUCGCGUCGUGUCAGUAUUUUCCACUGGAGCUUCCCUGACUGCACUGCCCUUCCUGAGCUACGUGUCGGCGUGUUCACGGUCCCCCCGCCCUCCGGCUGCUGGAGUUCACAUGUGUGUGCCUGUUGAUGGCUUUGCUUACACUCCCUGGUCUCUUUCCCACCUGAAACCGCGUCUGGCCCACGGCAGGCGCCCUGCAGAAUUGUUUGGAAUAAACAGGUAAACCCGAGGUGGAAGGCUUUGGCGUCACUGCUAUCACAGCCCUUCUACCUGUCCUCGCAGUCGUGAACACCUCUGCCUCUCUGAUGCUCCCGGGAGUCCUGACAGAGAUGCCCCUGAUCUUCACCCUGAGCCCAGUGCGCCGUCUGCUGAGUGACAGUGCCCAGAUGAUGAGACACCUUGACAGAUUUGCUUAUUUUCUUUCUUUCCUUUUUUUUUUUUUUUUAAGAUUUUAAUCUAUUUAUUUAACACACAGAGAGCGAUCACAAAUAGGCAGAGAGAUAGGCAGAGAGAGAGGGGAAGCAGGCUCCCCGCCGAGCAGAAUGCCAAUGAGGGACUCGAUCCCAGGACCCCGAGGUCAUGACCUGAGUCGAAGGCAGAGGCUCAACCCACUGAGCCACCCAGGCACCCCACAGACUUGCUUAUUUUCUCAUUCUCCAAAUAUUUAUCAUAUGCCUAGGAUAUGCCAGACAUUGCACCAGGCUCUCAGGAGGAAGACAGGGGAUGAAGAAGACAAUUUCUGCCAUCAGGGGAAAGUAGAGAGCCACAGCAGUGGUGCAUACAAUAUGGUCAUGGAAGACUCCAGUGCAAAGGCAGGUGAGUGACAAGAAGGACCUCACUGGGUCCUUGCUGGGAGCAGCUGUGAACAGCAGGGAUGUGCAGAAGGACUCCAUGGGUUUAAGGAAGGCUGGGCCAGAGGGCAGAAAAUAAGCAAAUCUGUGGGGCGCCUGGGUGGCUCAGUGGGUUGGCCCAGGAGAGAGCAAGGGGGAAAGGCUGACAGGGCCCUGGUGAGGGGCCUCAUGAGCCAGUGGGCAGACGCACUAGGAGGCCAUGAGAGAGUGAGUUCUGGAAGAACAGGGCUCUGCAGUCACACGGGGUAAGGCCAAAGCCUGAAAGAAGUUCCAGGGUGACACAAAGCUCCUACACAGGUGGCAGGCUCUUGCCUUGGCCAGGGGAGGCAGUACUGGCUUUGGGGAGGAGGUGCCCUUGGGAGGAACUCUCUGGAGCCAGGGGCUCCCUCUUGGCCCCUGGUACACCACCCACCUGCCUGGCUUGGCAGAUGCUGGGAUUUCUGGAUGUCCUCCAUGACUCCCCAGCUCAUAUGGGGUACGUCCCUAACACCCAGGGAGGGAAGCCAACCCUUCCCUGAACCUGGCCAGCCUUCCCGAGCUGGUGCUAGUUUGGGCACUGUGGAGCAGGGGUUUGGUCAGAGACUCACAGGCUUGGGCUGGCAAAUGGUCCCAGCACUGUCACUUACUGGCUGGGUGGUCUCGUGCAGGCCACCCUCCCUCUCUGAGCCUUGGUUUCCUCAUUCAUAAAAAAGGGUCAUGAAUGGCUUCUGCCUGUGGACACCGUGAGGACUGACUGAGGGAACGUGAACACAGCGUCUUGUACAACUCUGGGCGUGUGGCACAAACUCCAGCCUGGCUCCCUCAUCUCACCCAAGUAGAACUGCCCACCUAGCACAAGGGUGGGCACACAGUAGGUGCUCAAUGAGCAUUAACAGGAAAGUAGCCAUCUUGUUAAUAAAACAACUUCUCUGUGGGACCUGGCUACAGAUGACUUCUCUUCAUGGGGGGAAAAAGUGCUGAGAAGCAAGUUCAAAAUUCAAACCGUGAGCAACUUGAGAAACAUAUUUUUCAGUAAGUCAAGGUAAAGACUGGGGUCGAAGAAAACAUCUGGCUAAGUGAACUAAUGGCUUUAGAGAAAAAGGACCCUUGCUUUGUGGAGACGGGAAAAAAUUAUCCACUGCUGGUUUUAAUUUAAGAUGAAAAAAAAUCUUAUUCUAUUAGCCUAAAUAUUGCUCUUAUGUCCAAUUGCAUGGAGUUUGGAAUAAUAUUUUUCAAACAGAACUACUGCUAUUUCAAGUAAUUACAAUGCUAAAAGCAGUCAUUUGGGGUUGAGCAAGGAUCUCAUCAUGGUUUCAAUUCCCUCUGGUGUCAUUUUCUGUUAUAUUUGAGAAAUUCCUCAAUAAAGAUGUCAAAUAGAGAGAGGGUUUUGCUCCCCAGAGGACAGAUUUGGCCACCCUCCCAGGCAAGCCAUCUCUAUAAGAAAAUAACCUCUUUUGCUCAAAAGAAAAGGUCCAACUGUGAAAACUCAGGCAAGAAACUAACCCCGAAGCCAUCAGCCUCAUUUCUCCUAAUUAACUCAGAAUGCUCUUCGUACUCUGCUGAUCAGGAUUUAGUCCAGCCAUCAUCCCCGAGGAAUUCAGUAGUGGUUGAGAGAGGAAUGUUACAGCUGGACAAGACUCCUGACCCAGACUCCUGGAGACCAAAAAACAAGAGAUGUGAACAGCCUUCACUGUCCCCGAUGGGUGAUGGGCUGUGAGUGGGCUCCUGGUGAUGGACCAGAGAUGGUCAGGACUGCACAAGGCAGCAAGAACAGAAAAUCUUCCAACAACUCCAUUAGCCCCCAAGGCCACUGAGCACAGGGGGGCAGGCCCUGUGCUGGAAACUUCACCAGGAAGCAUGAACAUGAUCCCUACUGAGACCAAGCAGCCUGGUGAAGUAGGCAGCAUCGUCAUCCCCCUUUCCAGCAGGGAAGCAGGCUCAGAGGUUGUGGCCAGAGUGACGGCUACUAGCAGGGGAAUGCCGGGCCAGGCACGCCUCUCGGCAGCAGGACACUGUCUCAGUCACUGCUCACAAGAGCCCAGGACGAAGCAGCUCUUCAUCCUCUCCCUUUACCAACAAGGGACUGAGACUCUGAGACAAGAAUAAAGUAUCCACAGCCACGCUCCUGCCCAGUUCACAGUCUUACCUCCUUGGCUCUAGCUGUUGGGGCCUGUGUCACUCAGCAGCCAGCAGCAGAGGAGGGCCUAGGGGACAGGCACAGCUGCUUUGAGACCCCAUGCUCUCUGCCAUGAGAUGGUUCUCCGGCUGCAGAUGGCAAACCACCUCUGUUACGAAUUAUGCCCCCCUAAGAUGCUGAAGUCCUAAGAACCAGUCCCUGUGAACCUGUAACCUCUGUUGGAGAUAGGGUCUUUGCAGAGGGGUCACAAGCCUAGGACUGUGUCCUUCUAGAAGAGGGGAAUUGGGACACAGAGACAGAUGUGCACGGAGCAAAGGCCACGUAAAAGCACGGGGAGACAAUGAUCUACAAGCAGAGAAUGCCGGAACUUAGCAGAAGCCAGGCGAGAGGCCCGGAGCAGAUCCUCCCUGGAAGCCCUCUGAAGGAACCAACCCUGCCGACGGCCUGACUACAGACAUCUUGCCUCCAGCCUGGGAGAGAAUAAAUGUCCAUUGUUUGGGCCACUGAGUUUGUCACAUCGUUACAGCAGCUCGCAGGAGUCACUUCUCACACCAUGAGACAACUGGCAAAAUGGUGAU